This 499-nucleotide ribosomal RNA is filed under the name uncultured bacterium. RNAcentral describes it as "partial 16S ribosomal RNA". It matches the Rfam family "Bacterial small subunit ribosomal RNA", at positions 30 to 522 of the family's 1533-position model. The record is from RNAcentral.
AUUGAACGCUAGCGGCAGGCCUAACACAUGCAAGUCGAGCGGAUGAUGGGAGCUUGCUCCUUGAUUCAGCGGCGGACGGGUGAGUAAUGCCUAGGAAUCUGCCUGGUAGUGGGGGACAACGUUUCGAAAGGAACGCUAAUACCGCAUACGUCCUACGGGAGAAAGCAGGGGACCUUCGGGCCUUGCGCUAUCAGAUGAGCCUAGGUCGGAUUAACUAGUUGGUGGGGUAAUGGCUCGCCAAGGCGACGAUCCGUAACUGGUCUGAGAGGAUGAUCAGUCACACUGGAACUGAGACACGGUCCAGACUCCUACGGGAGGCAGCAGUGGGGAAUAUUGGACAAUGGGCGAAAGCCUGAUCCAGCCAUGCCGCGUGUGUGAAGAAGGUCUUCGGAUUGUAAAGCACUUUAAGUUGGGAGGAAGGGCAGUAAGCUAAUACCUUGCUGUUUUGACGUUACCGACAGAAUAAGCACCGGCUAACUCUGUGCCAGCCGCCGCAGAA